GACGAACGCUGGCGGCGUGCUUAACACAUGCAAGUCGAACGGUGAAGGGACCGGUUUUUGCUGGUUCUGGAUGAGUGGCGAACGGGUGAGUAACACGUGAGUAACCUUCCCCCUUCUUCUGGAUAACCGCAUGAAAGUGUGGCUAAUACGGGAUAUUCUGCGCCUGCUGCAUGGUGGGUGUGGGAAAGAUAUUGUUUCGGUGGGGGAUGGGCUCGCGGCCUAUCAGCUUGUUGGUGGGGUGAUGGCCUACCAAGGCGGUGACGGGUAGCCGGCCUGAGAGGGUGGACGGUCACACUGGGACUGAGACACGGCCCAGACUCCUACGGGAGGCAGCAGUGGGGAAUAUUGCACAAUGGGCGCAAGCCUGAUGCAGCGACGCCGCGUGAGGGAUGGAGGCCUUCGGGUUGUAAACCUCUUUCGCCAGUGAAGCAGGCCUGUCCCUUGUGUGGGUGGGUUGACGGUAGCUGGAGAAGAAGCGCCGGCUAACUACGUG
This 493-nucleotide ribosomal RNA is filed under the name uncultured bacterium. Its description in RNAcentral is "partial 16S ribosomal RNA". It matches the Rfam family "Bacterial small subunit ribosomal RNA", at positions 28 to 507 of the family's 1533-position model. The record is from RNAcentral.